GUGCUCACUUCAGCACAUAUACUAAAAUUGGAAAAAUACAGAGAAGAUCAGCAUGGCCCCGGCACAAGGAUGACACACAAAUUCAUAAAGUGUUCCAUAUUAAA
Molecule: small nuclear RNA, 104 nt
Filed under: Suricata suricatta (meerkat)
Lineage: Eukaryota; Metazoa; Chordata; Mammalia; Carnivora; Herpestidae
Source: RNAcentral